GGGGGGGGGGGGGGGGGGGGGGGGGGGGGGGGGGGCGGGGGGAGGGAGGGGGGGCUUGCGCCUCGGACGGUAGCGGCGGGCGGGUGAGUCCCACGUGGGGAACCUCCCUAUCGGCGUGGGAUCACUUCGGGAAACCGGAGCUAAUCCCGGAUAAUCUCUUGAACCGCAUGGUUCACUAGGGAAAGACGGUUUUGCUGUCCCUUAUAGAUGGGUCCGCGCCGGAGUAGCUAGUUGGUCAUGUAACGGCUUAACAAGGCAACGAUGCGUAGCCGACCUGAGAGGGUGAUCGGCCACACGGGAACUGAGACACGGUCCAGACUCCUACGGGAGGCAGCAGUAGGGAAUCUUCCGCAAUGGGCGAAAGCCUGACGGAGCAAAGCCGCGUGAGGGAUGAAGGUCUUCGGAUCGUAAAACUCUGUUAUUAGGGAAGAACAAAUGUGUAAGUAACUAUGCACGUCUUGACGGUACCUAAUCAGAAAGCCACGGCUAACUACGUG
RNAcentral lists this ribosomal RNA (497 nucleotides) under uncultured bacterium. RNAcentral's name for it is "partial 16S ribosomal RNA". It matches the Rfam family "Bacterial small subunit ribosomal RNA", at positions 38 to 507 of the family's 1533-position model. The record is from RNAcentral.